RNAcentral lists this ribosomal RNA (253 nucleotides) under uncultured bacterium. RNAcentral's name for it is "partial 16S ribosomal RNA". It matches the Rfam family "Bacterial small subunit ribosomal RNA", at positions 524 to 776 of the family's 1533-position model. The record is from RNAcentral.
UACGAAGGGGGCGAGCGUUGUUCGGAUUUACUGGGCGUAAAGGGCGCGUAGGCGGCCUUCUAAGUCGAACGUGAAAUCCCUGGGCUUAACCCAGGAACUGCGUCCGAUACUGGAAGGCUUGAAUCCGGGAGAGGGAUGCGGAAUUCCAGGUGUAGCGGUGAAAUGCGUAGAUAUCUGGAGGAACACCGGUGGCGAAGGCGGCAUCCUGGACCGGCAUUGACGCUGAGGCGCGAAAGCCAGGGGAGCAAACGGG